AGCGAACGCUGGCGGCAGGCUUAACACAUGCAAGUCGAGCGGGCACUUUCGGGUGUCAGCGGCGGACGGGUGAGUAACGCGUGGGAACGUGCCCUCUGGUUCGGAAUAACUCAGGGAAACUUGAGCUAAUACCGGAUACGCCCUUUUGGGGAAAGGCUUGCUGCCGGAGGAUCGGCCCGCGUCUGAUUAGCUAGUUGGUGAGGUAACGGCUCACCAAGGCGACGAUCAGUAGCUGGUCUGAGAGGAUGAUCAGCCACACUGGGACUGAGACACGGCCCAGACUCCUACGGGAGGCAGCAGUGGGGAAUAUUGGACAAUGGGCGCAAGCCUGAUCCAGCCAUGCCGCGUGAGUGAUGAAGGCCUUAGGGUUGUAAAGCUCUUUUAUCCGGGACGAUAGUGACGGUACCGGAGGAAUAAGCCCCGGCUAACUUCGUG
This 435-nucleotide ribosomal RNA is filed under the name uncultured bacterium. RNAcentral describes it as "partial 16S ribosomal RNA". It matches the Rfam family "Bacterial small subunit ribosomal RNA", at positions 29 to 507 of the family's 1533-position model. The record is from RNAcentral.